GUGCCAGCCGCCGCGGUAAUACGGAGGGUGCGAGCGUUAAUCGGAAUUACUGGGCGUAAAGCGCACGCAGGCGGUUUGUUAAGCUAGAUGUGAAAGCCCCGGGCUCAACCUGGGACGGUCAUUUAGAACUGGCAGACUAGAGUCUUGGAGAGGGGAGUGGAAUUCCAGGUGUAGCGGUGAAAUGCGUAGAUAUCUGGAGGAACAUCAGUGGCGAAGGCGACUCCCUGGCCAAAGACUGACGCUCAUGUGCGAAAGUGUGGGUAGCGAACAGGAUUAGAAACCCGAGUAGUCC
RNAcentral lists this ribosomal RNA (292 nucleotides) under uncultured bacterium. Its description in RNAcentral is "partial 16S ribosomal RNA". It matches the Rfam family "Bacterial small subunit ribosomal RNA", at positions 505 to 796 of the family's 1533-position model. The record is from RNAcentral.